Molecule: ribosomal RNA, 271 nt
Filed under: uncultured Staphylococcus sp.
Lineage: Bacteria; Bacillati; Bacillota; Bacilli; Caryophanales; Staphylococcaceae
Description: partial 16S ribosomal RNA
Rfam family: Bacterial small subunit ribosomal RNA
Source: RNAcentral
CGUUAGCGGCGGACGGGUGAGUAACACGUGGGUAACCUACCUAUAAGACUGGGACAACUUCGGGAAACCGGAGCUAAUACCGGAUAAGAUAUCGAACCGCAUGGUUCGAUAGUGAAAGAUGGUUUUGCUAUCACUUAUAGAUGGACCCGCGCCGUAUUAGCUAGUUGGUGAGGUAACGGCUCACCAAGGCAACGAUACGUAGCCGACCUGAGAGGGUGAUCGGCCACACUGGAACUGAGACACGGUCCAGACUCCUACGGGAGGCAGCAGA